RNAcentral lists this ribosomal RNA (562 nucleotides) under uncultured bacterium. RNAcentral describes it as "bacterial SSU rRNA". It matches the Rfam family "Bacterial small subunit ribosomal RNA", at positions 338 to 916 of the family's 1533-position model. The record is from RNAcentral.
CCUACGGGAGGCAGCAGUGGGGAAUAUUGGACAAUGGGCGAAAGCCUGAUCCAGCAAUGCCGCGUGAGUGAUGAAGGCCCUAGGGUUGUAAAGCUCUUUUACCCGGGAUGAUAAUGACAGUACCGGGAGAAUAAGCUCCGGCUAACUCCGUGCCAGCAGCCGCGGUAAUACGUAGGGUGCGAGCGUUAAUCGGAAUUACUGGGUGUAAAGUGUGCGCAGGCGGCCGCGCAAGUCGAGUGUGAAAGCCCCGGGCUUAACUUGGGAAUUGCGCUCGAAACUACGUGGCUGGAGUGUGGCAGAGGAAGGUGGAAUUCCACGUGUAGCGGUGAAAUGCGUAGAGAUGUGGAGGAACACCAAUGGCGAAGGCAGCCUUCUGGGCCAACACUGGCGCUCAUGCACGAAAGCGUGGGGAGCAAACAGGAUUAGAUACCCUGGUAGUCCACGCCGUAAACGAUGAGUGCUAGGUGUUAGGGGGUUUCCGCCCCUUAGUGCUGAAGUUAACGCAUUAAGCACUCCGCCUGGGGAGUACGACCGCAAGGUUGAAACUCAAAGGAAUUGACGG